RNAcentral lists this long non-coding RNA (1237 nucleotides) under Vulpes vulpes (red fox). Its description in RNAcentral is "lncRNA (ENSVVUG00000019290.1)". The record is from RNAcentral. Lineage: Eukaryota; Metazoa; Chordata; Mammalia; Carnivora; Canidae.
GCCUGUUGUCCCCCCACAGCCUGUGGUGCCCCCCCAGUUGUACCCCACCCCCCGCCUGUUGUACUCAUACUGCCUGCCGUAUUCCCGCAGCCUGCGCUGUGCCCACUGCCUGCAAUACUCCCUGAGGCCACUGCUGCUGCCUGUGCCCUGUGCUGCUCCCCAACCUGCUCACCCCACGGCGACCUGUGCUGCUCCCACUGGCCUGUGCUGGUUCGUCGGCCACCGCAGCCCUUUGGCCUGCACUGCAUCCUCUGGCCUGCGCCGUGCCCUCCGGGCACCGCUGCUCCCUCUGGCCACCGCUGCUGCCUCCGGUCUACGCUGCUCUGACCGACCUGCGCUACGCACAGUGACGUGCGCUGCUCUGCCUGGCCUGGGCUGCUUCCUUAAGCCCCCGCCGCUCCAUUGGCCUGCGCUGCUCCCUCNNGCCACCACCGCUCCCUGUGAUCCUCGCUGCUCUGAUCGACCUGCGCUGCUCCCACUGGCCCGUGCUGCUUCCUCAGGCCACCAUGCUCCGUUCGCCUGCCGCGCUCCCGUUGGCCACCGCUGCUGCCGAUGCUGCGUGCUGCUCUGCCCGGCCUGUGCUGCUCCCACUGCCUGUCGGGCUCCCACUGCCUUUUGAAGAUCCCCCUGCCCGUUGCGUGCCCGCUGCCCUUUGUGCGCCCGCUGGCUUCCGAGCUCCCGCGGCCUGUUGAGCGUCCGCUGCGCGCUGUGGGCCCGCUGCCUGCGCUGCGCCCGCGAUCUCUCCUGCGCCCACCGCCUUCGCUGACCGUCUGGCCACCGCCGCGCUCUAUGGCCUGUGCUGCUCCAUCCGACCUGCGUUGCACACGCUCACGUGCGCUGCUCCGAUUGGCCUGGGCUGCUGCUGCCUUAAGCCACGGGGGCUCGGUUGGCCUGCGCUGCUCCCCGUGGCCACCGCUGCACCCUCAGCCAGCACGUCUCCCUCUGGCCACCGCUGCUUCCUGUCGUCUCUGCUGCUCUGAGCAGCCUGCGUUGCGCACAGCUGCCCUGCUCUGUUCCCGCUGGCCUGGGCGGCUUCCGUGGGCCACCGUGCUCCAUUGGCCUGCCCUGCCCUCGCUGGCCACCGCCGCUGCCGGUGGUGUGCGCUGCUCGACCGGCCUGGGCCGCUCCCCCUGGCUGCUGCGCGCCCGCUGCCUGCGCUCGCCAACGGCCCUGCACUGCUUCCUCCUGGCACUCCUGCUGCCUGUCAUCUGUGCUGCUCUGACUGGCCUGUGCUGCU